CUCCCUCCUCCUCAGCCCGCGCCCCCGGCUGACUCCUCCGCUGCCGGCAGCACCGCACGCUUUGCCCGAGGUCCUGCUCGGAGGCCCGACCACGCCGCGGCCACCUUGUGACCCGGCCGGAGCGAACGCGGAGCCGCGAAUGCCGGUCCCCCUGGGGUCGCCUGGCGGAGAGCCCUGGCCCCGCCGCCCCGCGAGGCCGCGGGGGGCCCUUGCCUCCGGUGCGCUGCCCACUGCGGCAGGAGUCGUUGUGGACUUGUCCCCUACCCCCUUCCCCAAGCCGCCGAAGCCCCGGCUUAACUCUUCACGUCGGAGGGCGGUUAUACAACGAGGAGGACGCCGCGGCCACCCCAGCUCCAGUGGGGAGCGGGGAGGACUUCCCUGAGGCGCGGACGCGGCCUUCCCGGGGCCCGCGGCCGCCUCUUCCCGCCUUCGAGAGCUGGGGCCCCGGGAAAGGACUCACCUGCUCCCCAGCCCUGCGGCACCUCCCGAUAAGCGGCUCUCCGCCCGCGCCGGCGCCGAGUCUGCCUCCCCCGCUCCUGUCGACUGUGGAACACGAGGGGCCAGUCCCUCCGGAGAGCCUUCCUCUGGCUCCUCUCUGGGUUAAAAACGGGCCUUUCCAUACAUUGUAAGCCUAGAAUAGAAACUCUGUUACCUGGACUGUCCUCCCUGCCCGGGUAUAGUGUUCGGCAGAGUCAAAUGUGUUUUGAUUUUAGCAGCAAUAAUGAACUAUUGAAACUGAGGUCCAAGGGCGUACAAUAUAUGCAAAUUAUAGGCAAGCCAGCCAGCCGUAAGGGUUAGUGUGGUGGCCAAUAAGAAGUCAUCUGUGGGUAUGGGCAUUUAAAUUGCAUGAAAAUGUAAAUAUUCAGUACCUUAAGUGCACUAGCCAUAUGCCCAAUGUGGCUGGCGACAUGGUAAAAUAGGGCAUUUCCAUCAUAGCAGAAAAUUCUUUUGGACAGCUCCUAGCCCGAAGAUUAUAGGGGUUAAGCCCAAAUCUGCAUUACUGUAGACUUAUGUAUUGGAGAGAGAUAGCCUGGAAGCAGACCCUGAAUUAUGCCUUGGAGUUUUGACCUAAGGCCCUUCAUGACCACGCUAGCGAGGCCGGAGCCCUUCAGGAACUAAAUAGAAUUUGGUUCUCUUUUCUUGAGUUUUGACUUCAGGUUUCCAACCAAGAGAAUUUAUUUAGAUAUCUGAGGAAGUUCUUCAUUUAAGAAGCAAUCAGAGCUCCAUACCUUUAUCAAACAGCAAGUCUCUAAAGAUCAAAAAUAAAUUGGUCCCUGCAGCAUAAUAGAUGCUAAAGUUUAUCUGGAAGAACAUAAACAGGAUAACUAAAAACAAAAGUUUU
Pipistrellus kuhlii (Kuhl's pipistrelle) is the source of this 1342-nucleotide long non-coding RNA. RefSeq lists it as uncharacterized. The transcript has 2 exons. Lineage: Eukaryota; Metazoa; Chordata; Mammalia; Chiroptera; Vespertilionidae. The record is from RefSeq and is a predicted model, not a curated record.